This 468-nucleotide ribosomal RNA is filed under the name uncultured bacterium. RNAcentral's name for it is "partial 16S ribosomal RNA". It matches the Rfam family "Bacterial small subunit ribosomal RNA", at positions 28 to 507 of the family's 1533-position model. The record is from RNAcentral.
GACGAACGCUGGCGGCGUGCUUAACACAUGCAAGUCGAACGGAAAGGCCCUGCUUUUGUGGGGUGCUCGAGUGGCGAACGGGUGAGUAACACGUGAGUAACCUGCCCUUGACUUUGGGAUAAAUUCAGGAAACUGGGGCUAAUACCGGAUAGGAGCUCCUGCUGCAUGGUGGGGGUUGGAAAGUUUCGGCGGUUGGGGAUGGACUCGCGGCUUAUCCGCUUGUUGGUGGGGUAGUGGCUUACCAAGGCUUUGACGGGUAGCCGGCCUGAGAGGGUGACCGGCCACAUUGGGACUGAGGUACGGCCCAGACUCCUACGGGAGGCAGCAGUGGGGAAUAUUGCACAAUGGGCGGAAGCCUGAUGCAGCAACGCCGCGUGCGGGAUGACGGCCUUCGGGUUGUAAACCGCUUUCGCCUGUGACGAAGCGUGAGUGACGGUAAUGGGUAAAGAAGCACCGGCUAACUACGUG